Molecule: ribosomal RNA, 484 nt
Filed under: uncultured bacterium
Lineage: Bacteria
Description: partial 16S ribosomal RNA
Rfam family: Bacterial small subunit ribosomal RNA
Source: RNAcentral
AUUGAACGCUGGCGGCAGGCCUAACGCAUGCAAGUCGGGCGGAUGAAGGGAGCUUGCUCCUGGAUUCAGCGGCGGACGGGUGAGUAAUGCCUAGGAAUCUGCCUGGUAGUGGGGGAUAACGUCCGGAAACGGGCGCUAAUACCGCAUACGUCCUGAGGGAGAAAGUGGGGGAUCUUCGGACCUCACGCUAUCAGAUGAGCCUAGGUCGGAUUAGCUAGUUGGUGGGGUAAAGGCCUACCAAGGCGACGAUCCGUAACUGGUCUGAGAGGAUGAUCAGUCACACUGGAACUGAGACACGGUCCAGACUCCUACGGGAGGCAGCAGUGGGGAAUAUUGGACAAUGGGCGAAAGCCUGAUCCAGCCAUGCCGCGUGUGUGAAGAAGGUCUUCGGAUUGUAAAGCACUUUAAGUUGGGAGGAAGGGCAGUAAGUUAAUACCUUGCUGUUUUGACGUUACCAACAGAAUAAGCACCGGCUAACUUCGUG